This 755-nucleotide ribosomal RNA is filed under the name uncultured bacterium. RNAcentral describes it as "bacterial SSU rRNA". It matches the Rfam family "Bacterial small subunit ribosomal RNA", at positions 8 to 758 of the family's 1533-position model. The record is from RNAcentral.
AGAGUUUGAUCCUGGCUCAGGAUGAACGCUAGCGGCAGGCUUAAUACAUGCAAGUCGAACGGUAACAGGUCCAGCAAUGGAUGCUGACGAGUGGCGCACGGGUGCGUAACACGUAUGCAACCUACCUUUAACUAAGGAAUAGCCCCGAGAAAUCGGGAUUAAUACUUUAUAAUAUUAUAGAAAGACAUCUUUUUAUAAUUAAAGCUCAGGCGGUUAAAGAUGGGCAUGCGCGACAUUAGCUAGUUGGUAAGGUAACGGCUUACCAAGGCUGCGAUGUCUAGGGGUUCUGAGAGGAUUAACCCCCACACUGGUACUGAGAUACGGACCAGACUCCUACGGGAGGCAGCAGUAAGGAAUAUUGGGCAAUGGACGCAAGUCUGACCCAGCCAUGCCGCGUGCAGGAUGAAUGCCCUAUGGGUUGUAAACUGCUUUUAUACGGGAAAAAACCCUCGCUCGUGAGCGAGGCUGAUGGUACUGUAAGAAUAAGGAUCGGCUAACUCCGUGCCAGCAGCCGCGGUAAUACGGAGGGUGCAAGCGUUACCCGGAUUUAUUGGGUUUAAAGGGUGCGUAGGCGGUAUUUUAAGUCAGUGGUGAAAUGUUGCAGCUUAACUGUAGAAUUGCCAUUGAAACUGAAGUACUUGAGUUAUCUUGAGGUAGGCGGAAUGUGUAGUGUAGCGGUGAAAUGCUUAGAUAUUACACAGAACACCGAUUGCGAAGGCAGCUUACUAAGGAUAAACUGACGCUCAGGCACGAAA